UGUGGAGGCUAUAUACAGGGUAUUACGGUACAGAGUCAAUGUGGAGGCUACAUACAGGGUAUUACGGUACAGAGUCAAUGUGGAGGCUAUAUACAGGGGGUACCGGUACAGAGUCAAUGUGGAGGCUAUAUACAGGGGGUACCGGUACAGAGUCAAUGUGGAGACUAUAUACAGGGGGUACCGGUACAGAGUCAAUGUGGAGGCUAUAUACAGGAGGUGCCGGUACUGAGUCAAUGUGGAGACUAUAUACAGGGGGUACCGGUACAGAGUCAAUGUGGAGGCUAUAUACAGGAGGUGCCGGUACUGAGUCAAUGUGGAGACUAUAUACAGGGGGUACUGGUACAGUGUCAAUGUGGAGGCUAUAUACAGGGUAUUACGGUACAGAGUCAAUGUGGAGACUAUAUACAGGGGGUACCAGUACAGAGUCAAUGUGGAGACUAUAUACAGGGGUACCGGUACAGGGUCAAUGUGGAGACUAUAUACAGGGGUACCGGUACAGGGUCAAUGUGGCACCGGUGUUGAGGUAAUUGUGGUAAUAAUGUACAUGUAGGUAGAGUUAUUAAAGUGGUUAUGCAUUGAU
Molecule: long non-coding RNA, 580 nt
Organism: Oncorhynchus tshawytscha (Chinook salmon)
Lineage: Eukaryota; Metazoa; Chordata; Actinopteri; Salmoniformes; Salmonidae
Source: Ensembl